Daphnia carinata is the source of this 2224-nucleotide long non-coding RNA. RefSeq lists it as uncharacterized. The transcript is spliced from 3 exons. The record is from RefSeq and is a predicted model, not a curated record. Lineage: Eukaryota; Metazoa; Arthropoda; Branchiopoda; Diplostraca; Daphniidae.
AAGUUUGGAAUGGCGAGUGAACAACCUAGCGUACCUUAUAUACCUCCUGCCAUGGUUCGAUAUCCCGCCACGUCUCUCCCACAACCUUUGGAGUUUUUUUUUGUGUGUUGGUGAUAAGGUUUUUUUUUUUUAUUUAUCAGGCCACAUUAAAAAGUAAUGCACUUACGAAAUCAAGUGAUUCCCAUUGUUCCCCCCUUAGCCACGAAAUUUUGAAAUAAUUAUUGGAAUAACGUACAAAUUGAAAUGGUUUUUCAAUUUUUAAUAGUCAAGAACAAUUUGUUUUUGUCGUUGUAAUUUCGAAUUGCUUCGUGUUAUACCUGUUUAAUCACUUAUCGUCUGUUUCUAUAUUCAGGACAUAUAACAACUCUCAUCUCGUCGAUGAGCAAAGGGAAGGAAUGAAUGCAUCCGCCGUGUACUCCGACUACCAUUCCGAUGAGUGUCGCAAUCAAAACAGCCAGUAAUACAGCACGGUGAGAUUGAUUAUUAGAAUUAACAUCAGGAAUGAGGUCCGUUCUAGCUCUUUGGAUGUAAAAAUAAGCUUAAAGGAAUAUGUAAUUAUGUUGGCGUCGCACCGAACCCCCACGAAAGGGGAGAGUUGUUUUUGCAUGCAAGAACCAACAGAUAUACUGAUAAAGUUCCCCACAGAUCCUGCGUAGAUUCAUAGACCUAUAAUCGCUCGACAAAUAUUUACAUCUUGAAGUUCAAAAACAGCAUGUUUAUCAACCAUUGUUUCGGAGCUUAGGUUUCGAUAUUUUACGAUAGCAGCCCUCCAACGCAAUUGCUGUGGACAUUUUACAGUCUAGACUGUUACACUCGAGCUUCAUAGCCUAGAUCUGUUCUUCAUAGGCAGCACUUUAUGUAGUUUUAAUUUUUAUGGAAUAUCGUCAGCCUAUGGAUAUUCCGUAAUUAGGAGAUCAUUUUACAAUUAAAGUAAAGAACAAACUCAAUCGGAGAAACUCAUUUUAUUCGAUCACUUGUUUGGACAGCAUUGAUGCAUACAUAAUUUGUAUUAUUAUUAUAUUGUGUAAUUUCUGGUUACUUUUCUGUCGACUAGAGAAUUCUGUCGUGCUAAAAAAAAAAAUAAGUAUUACGCGCAAACACUGGGAGAAACGAGAGAACCGUGCAAGAACAAAUCCACAUGUUGAAGAACAACAGUUAUCGACAAUACCGAACGUUUAACGUGUACACGUAUUAUUUCUCGUGCUUUUUGUGUUAUUUUAUGUGGCUACAAAAAUUGAUUCUCUGGUGUGACCUGUACCUGACUUUGUUUGUUCCUCCGUUCUAGGCGUUACAACUAACGCCAUAGAAAGAGCAUUAACAAGUUCCCGUAAAUGCACGAACCCCGUUAAAAAAUUUGCAAUUGUUUUAAAAACUCGCAUUUUGUGAUUAUAAAUUGCGAUGAAAGAUGGCGCUCUUGUAUUUUGUCUUCUGCUUGAAGUACGUGUAACUCAUGUGAAACCUAUGGCUACCUGUUUGCUAAGAUUUGUUAAUUGUGUUACAUCCAAUGGAAAGUUCGAUAUAAACAAACAGUGUGCCAUCUACUUUUCAAGGUCCGUCGUUUGUUUUUUAUUUAAGUGAAGCACAUCAAAUGGAGUAUUUUGUGAAAUGGGUAAAUCUUUAGAUCAGCUAUGCCAGUUCGAAAUGAAAAGUAACUUGUUUGCAGUCAAUCAAGCUAUUUCAUUGCUAAUUGAGAGCUCGUGAAACCUAAAUGGCUAAGGAUGCUGCCUGUGGAGAAAAGUCACAAAUGUCACAAAUCUUAUCGGUGUAAUCUGUUCAUCAAUUCGUGUCAGUUGUGAUUUGGCAAGUGAGCUACGUGUUGUGCUGGUAACCAUUUACCAUCAUCAUUUCAGCAAUGUUCUCAUCAUUUCUCAUGAGCCUAUCAAGUAGCAGGAUUUUGUGCUGAGGGUUUGCCAACCAACACACGCCUUCGCCUCACCCGUCGCCUCGUCCUUCGCCCCGUCUUCGCCUUGUCCGUCGCCCCGUCUUCGCCUCGUCCGUCGCCCCGUCUUCGCCUCGUCCGUCGCCCCGUCUUCGCCUCGUCCGUCGCCCCGUCUUCGCCUCGUCCGUCGCCCCGUCUUCGCCUCGUCCGUCGCCCCGUCUUCGCCUCGUCCGUCGCCCCGUCUUCACCUCGCCCGUCGCCGCGUCUUCGCCUCGCCUGUCGCCGCGUCUUCGCCUCGCCCGUCGCCGCGUCUUCGCCUCGUCCGUCGCCCCAUCAUCGCCUCGC